RNAcentral lists this ribosomal RNA (258 nucleotides) under uncultured bacterium. RNAcentral's name for it is "partial 16S ribosomal RNA". It matches the Rfam family "Bacterial small subunit ribosomal RNA", at positions 96 to 354 of the family's 1533-position model. The record is from RNAcentral.
UGGCGGACGGGUGAGUAACGCGUGGAUAACCUGCCGUAUACAGGGGGAUAACACUUAGAAAUAGGUGCUAAUACCGCAUAAGCGCACGGUUCCGCAUGGAACAGUGUGAAAAACUCCGGUGGUAUACGAUGGAUCCGCGUCUGAUUAGCCAGUUGGCGGGGUAACGGCCCACCAAAGCGACGAUCAGUAGCCGGCCUGAGAGGGCGGACGGCCACACUGGGACUGAGACACGGCCCAGACUCCUACGGGAGGCAGCAG